CCUACGGGCGGCUGCAGUGGGGAAUAUUGCACAAUGGGCGCAAGCCUGAUGCGGCCAUGCCGCGUGUGUGAAGAAGGCCUUCGGGUUGUAAAGCACUUUCAGCGGGGAGGAAGGCGGUGAGGUUAAUAACCUCAUCGAUUGACGUUACCCGCAGAAGAAGCACCGGCUAACUCCGUGCCAGCAGCCGCGGUAAUACGGAGGGUGCAAGCGUUAAUCGGAAUUACUGGGCGUAAAGCGCACGCAGGCGGUCUGUCAAGUCGGAUGUGAAAUCCCCGGGCUCAACCUGGGAACUGCAUUCGAAACUGGCAGGUUAGAGUCUUGUAGAGGGGGGUAGAAUUCCAGGUGUAGCGGUGAAAUGCGUAGAGAUCUGGAGGAAUACCGGUGGCGAAGGCGGCCCCCUGGACAAAGACUGACGCUCAGGUGCGAAAGCGUGGGGAGCAAACAGGAUUAGAUACCCCUGUAGUC
RNAcentral lists this ribosomal RNA (465 nucleotides) under uncultured Klebsiella sp. RNAcentral's name for it is "bacterial SSU rRNA". It matches the Rfam family "Bacterial small subunit ribosomal RNA", at positions 338 to 795 of the family's 1533-position model. The record is from RNAcentral. Lineage: Bacteria; Pseudomonadati; Pseudomonadota; Gammaproteobacteria; Enterobacterales; Enterobacteriaceae.